This is a non-coding RNA of Paramuricea clavata, 272 nucleotides long. The record is from the annotation of a GenBank genome assembly. Lineage: Eukaryota; Metazoa; Cnidaria; Anthozoa; Malacalcyonacea; Plexauridae.
CCCAGUUGUUGCAGCAAGUUUGAAACAAGCUGUUAACAACUUGUAACAAGCUUGAUGGCAUUAUCAGACUUGUCACAAGGUUGUUCUAACAAGUCUGAUACAUUCAUGAUGGACAAGAAUGUUACAAGGUUGAUGACACAAGGUUGUAACAAUACUGCUAUAUCAUGACUGUAUCGGACUUGUCGAAACAACUUUGUCACAAACCUGAUAAUAUCGACAAGGUUGUUACAAAUUGUUAACAGCUUGUUCCAAACUUGUUGACAACUUGUGAC